Molecule: long non-coding RNA, 661 nt
Organism: Plectropomus leopardus (leopard coralgrouper)
Lineage: Eukaryota; Metazoa; Chordata; Actinopteri; Perciformes; Serranidae
Source: RefSeq, a predicted model, not a curated record
CUCUGUGGAUUCUGGCAGCUAUCAGCAGAGUAAAGGUAAAGCCAUGAAACUUCUCUUAAUAUAGUAUAAACCUAAACUGAUAUUGAUUUUUUCAGUGGCUAAAUCCACAGCAGUACAUUGCUUAGCUUCCAGACAGACUUCAGCCUGUUUCUCUAAACUGGGGGAGUGCUGACUGACUACUACUGUCUGUACACUGACUAUGCAUAAGUGCCCCAAACAAACCCACUUCAAAAACUCCAAACUAUCUCUUUUAAUGUUUUUUUUAGUAAUAUAACAAGUGAACAUCUAUUUCUACAAAAGCAUUUGCUGCCUGAUUCCUGAUUAGUACGAUUUUAAGCACUUGUAAUGGAUUACAAUUGCAGUCUCAUUCUUAAUGAGAUGGUUGCUGUAAUGCUAUUAAUUUUAAUCUGGUUCUCUAAUCUCUGUUUACAGGUUCAGAUUCAUUAAUCUCAGAUUAUCGCUCAACAUCAGAUACGUCACACUGGUCCAUUUGCUCGGUAGAGAUCACAAGGUCAACGGUGAAGCCACAGCGGCGCAAUUCUUUUUUUUAAAAGCAGGGUCAUGGGUCUGAAAAAAAUCAUGCAGUACUUCCCAACAGGAAUGUGUCUUCUCAUCGGAUAAAGAGAAAUUAGGGCUUUCUGGUGCAAAAGUAGCCCACAAA